RNAcentral lists this long non-coding RNA (316 nucleotides) under Mus musculus (house mouse). RNAcentral's name for it is "long non-coding RNA chr16:17263106-17263422". The record is from RNAcentral. Lineage: Eukaryota; Metazoa; Chordata; Mammalia; Rodentia; Muridae.
GGGAUGGGGUAUCUGUUUCAUUUAAUUGGAACUGGAAGAGGGAUCAUGACGUCCUUUAUGCCCUUCCCCGAGCAGGGGAGGGAUGCUGGGAUCGCACUCCUGUACUGGUCACCCCUAUUACCACGCAUCACAUUGAUUUGAGUUUACUUCCCUAAAGAGUUUGGAUGGAUGCAUUCAGGUCAGAGCUGCAGCUCUGCAGCCCUCCGAUGUUAGAGUGAUUUAUCCAUGACUAAUCUCUCCAUUCAAAAGCGUGCAGUCUUAAUGUACAGUGAUGAGAAACUGUUAUUUUAUGAUCUUUUCAUUAAAAGCUUGAUUG